CAGUCCUUUAACCCAACCCCGUGAGGUUGAGAAGGAAGUCGGAAUACAAUAUACGUAUGUUCUUUUUUGGGGAUACGUAUGCUUUUUUGGCCUUCUCAUCAUAUCAGGUGAGAAGGCCUUUUGUU
Molecule: non-coding RNA, 125 nt
Organism: Bacillus thuringiensis serovar israelensis ATCC 35646
Lineage: Bacteria; Bacillati; Bacillota; Bacilli; Caryophanales; Bacillaceae
Source: Rfam